AGUGAACGCUGGCGGUAGGCCUAACACAUGCAAGUCGAACGGCAGCACAGUAAGAGCUAGCUCUUACGGGUGGCGAGUGGCGGACGGGUGAGGAAUACAUCGGAAUCUACUUUUUCGUGGGGGAUAACGUAGGGAAACUUACGCUAAUACAGCAUACGACCUACGGGUGAAAGCAGGGGAUCUUCGGACCUUGCGCGAUUGAAUGAGACGAUGUCGGAUUAGCUAGUUGGCGGGGUAAAGGCCCACCAAGGCGACGAUCCGUAGCUGGUCUGAGAGGAUGAUCAGCCACACUGGAACUGAGACACGGUCCAGACUCCUACGGGAGGCAGCAGUGGGGAAUAUUGGACAAUGGGCGCAAGCCUGAUCCAGCCAUACCGCGUGGGUGAAGAAGGCCUUCGGGUUGUAAAGCCCUUUUGUUGGGAAAGAAAAGCAGCAGGUUAAUACCCCGCUGUUCUGACGGUACCCAAAGAAUAAGCACCGGCUAACUUCGUG
This 492-nucleotide ribosomal RNA is filed under the name uncultured bacterium. Its description in RNAcentral is "partial 16S ribosomal RNA". It matches the Rfam family "Bacterial small subunit ribosomal RNA", at positions 29 to 507 of the family's 1533-position model. The record is from RNAcentral.